UGUUCGUGUUUGUGAAGCCCUUGGCAGGUGUUUGUUGUGAAGCCUAUGUCAGGUGUUUGUGAAGCCUAUGUCAGGUGUUUGUGAAGCCUAUGUCAGGUGUUUGUGAAGUGUUUUUUAAGCCUAUGUCAGGUGUUUGUAAAGUGUUUGUUAAGCUUAUGUCAAGUGUUUGUUAAGCAUAUGUCAGGUGUUUGUGAAGCCUAUGACAGGUGUUUGUGAAGUGUUUGUUAAGCUUAUGUCAGGUGUUUGUGAAGUGUUUGUGAAGCCUACGUCAGGUGUUUGUUAAGCUUAUGUCAGGUGUUUGUGAAGCCUAUGUCAGGUGUUUGUGAAGCCUAUGUCAGGUGUUU
Molecule: long non-coding RNA, 344 nt
Organism: Clupea harengus (Atlantic herring)
Lineage: Eukaryota; Metazoa; Chordata; Actinopteri; Clupeiformes; Clupeidae
Exons: 3
Source: RefSeq, a predicted model, not a curated record